CGACUUGCAGGGAGUGUCAGGCUGGACUCCUGUAUAUAAUCCCUGCCUCUCUUUCCCCUCCAUACCCCACAGACCCACCUAAGGAACACUCUCCUCCAAACAGUCUCCCAGUCUCUUUCAGGAUGGCGUGUGACCUUAAACCCGGUGAGAUAGCCUUGGGAGCAAUCGUUGGCAUAUUCCACCAGUACGCUUCAGGAGACGGGGAUUCAAAGACACUUAGCAAAGGAGAGUUCGAUAAACUCGUCAAGGAGCAGUUCCCCAACUUAAUUCCUGAUGAAUGUGCGUCAAAGCUCAAAAAAGAAAUCCACAAGAUUGCCGGCGAUACCAUUGACUUCCAGGAGUUCAUGCAACUAGUAUCCGUGCUUUGCACGAUGUCCCACUGCAUGUUGCUGGAAUCCUUAGGAGGCAAAUAGCCUGUAAAACAAAGCUCUGAUUGGCUGCCAAUUUACAGCGCUGACGCUGUUACAACAGAGGUGCCUGAACUCAAACCUGCAUUAUAAAUCUGGCUGAAACACAAACCAAUGUUGUUUCCCAAUAAACAUUUUACUGUUUAAAA
Long non-coding RNA from Anguilla rostrata (American eel), 556 nucleotides. RefSeq lists it as uncharacterized. Lineage: Eukaryota; Metazoa; Chordata; Actinopteri; Anguilliformes; Anguillidae. The record is from RefSeq and is a predicted model, not a curated record. The transcript is spliced from 3 exons.